AUGCUCCCAGCUAAACCCCGGGCAGCGUUUUGGCCACAUGCACCCCUCCUGCAGCCCUCACCCACCAGGAGCCACCCAGGAGGGUUUUUUUUUUUAGCCUGUUCCCUACCCAGGCAUCGGGAAGGGAGAAUUUCUCAGCAUUUAUCAGUGGAAGCAAUUAGGAAACGUGGGUAUUUUGUUUUCCAGCACAGGGAGCAGCCUUUCUCCCCCAAAACGCUGCCGAACCCCCCAGGAUCUGGAGGAACAACCCCGAUGUAUUUACAGAGUUUUGUCCCUGCCGAGGACGAGGGAGAAGAGGAGUCCCAGACCUCCAGGGAUGGAAAACAUUUCAGCCCUGACCCUCUGGAGACACCGCUUGAUGGGAGCAGAGCGGGAGCAGCCGGGGCUGCCAAGCUGGCAGGCGACAGCAGCGUGCCCCGGCCGUGCCGGGAACCCCUGCCCGUGGCAGCCGACAGCUCGCUGGAGAGAGCGAACGUUUUUCUGCUCAGGGGCAGAUGCCAGCACCUCCCUUCCCCCUGUGCUGCAGCCCUGGCUCCGAUAUCCGUCUGUCUGUCUGUCUGUCUGCUCACAGCCAGCUGCCAAGGGGCGCACACGGGGCCAAGCCGGGCAGCGCUCCCAGCCCUGGGCGCACAUCCGAGGAGCAUUUCUGCACCCCCAGAACACAAACCCGGCUGGGAGAGGAUCCCCAAAGCCCCAGGGGAGCGCAGGGGGCAGGCUUCACCCCCUGGGCCCUGCCACCCUGGGACCACGUCGUGUUCACGCGGGGAUUUGGGGAUGCUAAAGCCCAGCAGGCUGCUGCAGCGGGGGGUGAUAGGAGAGGAGCAGCUCCGCUCCCAACCUUCUCCAUCGCAGGGAAGCAUCCCCCCUCCCCUAAAUGUUCUCGCCCCCCAGGCUGGGGUUUCUGCGUUCUGCAGCUUGGAGGCAGAAGCCUCCCCUCCCAGCCCUCCCCUCCCAGCCCCGCGGUGCCCGUGGAGGCGGCUGUGCGUGGGCAGGGAGCAGGAACGCCGCGUCCCCGUGGCCUUGCAGCCGAAUACCAGCCCGGGGAUGGGAGCAGCCCCCGGGCAGCCUUGCAAAACAGCAGCCAGGGACAAAACCCACGCCGUGCCCGCAGCCCAGACAGCCGGGGCAGAGAGAAAGAGCAUCACUGCACCCCAGGGAGCCGGUCCCAAAUUUCAAAGAAAUGCAAACCAGGGCCAGAGAGCAGCAGGAGCUGCUGGAGAUUUGGAGACCCGAGCGCUCCGACCACCAGCCUGCGUGUUCCUAGUCUCACAUCAGCAAACAUACACCGAACAAAAAAGCCUCCCCGCAGAAAAAGAGGGGGACAAAAAGUGCCGCAAGCUCUAG
This 1344-nucleotide long non-coding RNA is filed under the name Anas zonorhyncha (Eastern spot-billed duck). RNAcentral describes it as "lncRNA (ENSAZOG00000018798.1)". The record is from RNAcentral. Lineage: Eukaryota; Metazoa; Chordata; Aves; Anseriformes; Anatidae.